CUACGGAGGGUGCAAGCGUUAUCCGGAAUCAUUGGGUUUAAAGGGUCCGUAGGCGGUCUAUUAAGUCAGAGGUGAAAUCCCACAGCUCAACUGUGGAACUGCCUUUGAUACUGGUAGACUUGAGUUACAGUGAAGUAGAUAGAAUGUGUAGUGUAGCGGUGAAAUGCAUAGAGAUUCCACAGAAUACCGAUUGCGAAGGCAGUCUACUAACUGUAUACUGACGCUGAUGGACGAAAGCGUGGGGAGCGAACAGGAUUAGAAACCCUAGUAGUCC
Molecule: ribosomal RNA, 274 nt
Filed under: uncultured bacterium
Lineage: Bacteria
Description: partial 16S ribosomal RNA
Rfam family: Bacterial small subunit ribosomal RNA
Source: RNAcentral